RNAcentral lists this ribosomal RNA (495 nucleotides) under uncultured bacterium. RNAcentral describes it as "partial 16S ribosomal RNA". It matches the Rfam family "Bacterial small subunit ribosomal RNA", at positions 28 to 507 of the family's 1533-position model. The record is from RNAcentral.
GACGAACGCUGGCGGCGUGCCUAAUACAUGCAAGUAGAACGCUGAAGGAGGAGCUUGCUUCUCUGGAUGAGUUGCGAACGGGUGAGUAACGCGUAGGUAACCUGCCUGGUAGCGGGGGAUAACUAUUGGAAACGAUAGCUAAUACCGCAUAAUAGUAGAUGUUGCAUGACAUUUGCUUAAAAGGUGCAAUUGCAUCACUACCAGAUGGACCUGCGUUGUAUUAGCUAGUUGGUGAGGUAACGGCUCACCAAGGCGACGAUACAUAGCCGACCUGAGAGGGUGAUCGGCCACACUGGGACUGAGACACGGCCCAGACUCCUACGGGAGGCAGCAGUAGGGUAUCUUCGGCAAUGGACGGAAGUCUGACCGAGCAACGCCGCGUGAGUGAAGAAGGUUUUCGGAUCGUAAAGCUCUGUUGUAAGAGAAGAACGAGUGUGAGAGUGGAAAGUUCACACUGUGACGGUAUCUUACCAGAAAGGGACGGCUAACUACGUG